Molecule: long non-coding RNA, 1169 nt
Organism: Ictalurus punctatus (channel catfish)
Lineage: Eukaryota; Metazoa; Chordata; Actinopteri; Siluriformes; Ictaluridae
Exons: 3
Source: RefSeq, a predicted model, not a curated record
CUGGGGCGUGCUGUUCAUGUUUAUAAGGGUCAGCGUUAAGUUCAAAUAGCUGUUUCUCAGGAACCAAAAUGCCAAUUGAGCAGAAUUUGCUGUGCGCUUUCUGCUAAUCUGUAACUGAAUUACUUCAAAAAUGUCUGCCUUCUGCCAGUCGGCUUUCAGCAGAUUCUUACUGAGGUGCUGUUUUCCACAUGCAGUGCUUGGCUGUGUUGGAGGCCACCAAGAAAGACUUCCUGGCUGUCAUGUGGAAGCUAAGUGGGCUGGGGUCAAAAGGGUUUCUGGCCAUGGUGCUUGUGCUGCAGUGAUCUUGUUCUCUAUCACACUCCAACACAGGUAGCCAUCUUCACCCUCUCCCAAGAGGUGAUGGUACGACUCUGAAUAAACACUCUAUUAUUAUAAAUAAAGUGUGACUGUGUCUUGUAGUCCACCCACCAACCUUUUUCUGUUCAGUGGUUUGACUUGUGCUACACAGAGGUGAGUCCAGUUAUGCUGCAAGAAGUGUAAGUAUGAUGGGGUUGACGAGUGGGAGGAGAGGUUCUUCCUGUGCAAGGUGCUGCUCUCUCUUCUUUCAGCAUAGCUCCUGGUCUCAGAACAGGUUUAGUUCAUCGUUGCUGGUGUUGUGUAGAGGAUGUUAUAUUGUGAAAGUCACAACUAUCCCCGCUCAAGGUCUUGUGAAAUAUUUGACCUUAUUUGUGACUAUAUUCACCAUGAUACUUUCAGCGGUUACUACAUUAGUGUCCUUAAUUUUUUUUACUAUUUAAAGAUUGUUUAAAAGUUUAUUACAGGCUCAAUGAAUGUUCUUCUCCUUCACUAGAAGAUAAAGGCCCGGUUUCACAGACAGGGUUUACAUUAAGCCAGGAUUAGAUCUUCAAUCAAUUAGGACAUUUCAGUAGCUUUUAUAAACGUUUCUUUAGAAAAAAAUAUUUCUGGUGCACAUCCUGAGAUAAAACAAUGGCACUGACGUGUUUUAAGAUCCGUCCGUGCAAGUAGCUUUCAGUUAAAACAGCUCAAAGAUACAUUUUAGUCUGGGACUAGGCUUAGGCCUUGUCUGUGAAACCAGGGGAAAAGAAGAAGGGUGUGCUUUAUUAUGCUCUCUGCAGAAUAUGACAGAAGAAAUGUGACCCACACCUUUAACUAUAAAAAGCAGGUAGAACUGCAGUUAGCAUGAAACC